AGAGUUUGAUCCUGGCUCAGAACGAACGCUGGCGGCGUGGAUAAGACAUGCAAGUCGAACGAGACUUUUCGUUGUAGCAAUACGAUGGAAAGUUUAGUGGCGAACGGGUGCUUAACACGUGGGCAACCUGCCAUGAAGUGGGGGAUAGCUCGUCGAAAAGGCGAAUUAAUACCGCAUGUGAUUAGAGUGGACAUCCAUUCAAAAUUAAAGUCGGGGCAACCUGACGCUUCUUGUGGGGCCCGCGGCCUAUCAGCUAGUUGGUGAGGUAACGGCUCACCAAGGCUUUGACGGGUAGCUGGUCUGAGAGGACGACCAGCCACACUGGGACUGAGACACGGCCCAGACACCUACGGGUGGCAGCAGUCGAGAAUUUUUGACAAUGGGGGAAACCCUGAUCGAGCGACGCCGCGUGGAGGAUGAAGGUCUUCGGAUUGUAAACUCCUGUCAUUGGGGAACAAUGCACAGAUAUUAACUGUAUUUGUGUUGAUAGUACCCGAAGAGGAAGGGACGGCUAACUCUGUGCCAGCAGCCGCGGUAAUACAGAGGUCCCAAGCGUUGUUCGGAUUCAUUGGGCGUAAAGGGUGCGUAGGCGGCGCGGUAAGUCGGGUGUGAAAUCUCGGGGCUUAACUCCGAAACUGCAUUCGAUACUGCCGUGCUUGAGGACUGGAGAGGAGACUGGAAUUUACGGUGUAGCGGUGAAAUGCGUAGAUAUCGUAAGGAAGACCAGUGGCGAAGGCGGGUCUCUGGACAGUUCCUGACGCUGAGGCACGAAGGUCAGGGGAGCAAACGGGAUUAGAUACCCUAGUAGUCC
This 811-nucleotide ribosomal RNA is filed under the name uncultured bacterium. RNAcentral's name for it is "bacterial SSU rRNA". It matches the Rfam family "Bacterial small subunit ribosomal RNA", at positions 8 to 796 of the family's 1533-position model. The record is from RNAcentral.